Molecule: unclassified non-coding RNA, 321 nt
Filed under: Hevea brasiliensis (rubber tree)
Lineage: Eukaryota; Viridiplantae; Streptophyta; Magnoliopsida; Malpighiales; Euphorbiaceae
Source: RNAcentral
CAACUUUUGGUUGACAAUACCCGUUUAAAAAGCCACCAACUCAUUAUGGCUAUGUGGAGACGGUUAUUUCUUGAAACAAAAGAGUUAGAUCAGCUACAGCGUUUAACAACAAAGCUUUUGUGCAGUUAAAGACUACAGGCCAAAAGGCUUUCAAACAUGCAUAAAAUAAGUAAGCCUACCAAGUGUCAAGGAUGGACUAUAUACCGAAUAAGUAUCACAUGAAUUUCAGCAUGAAAGCAAGGAAAGACCUAGUUACAGCCAUACUAUGGAAUAUAGCACCAGCAACAUUAAAAUUACCUUUUGCCUUGUGACCUCCCAAAG